UGUGGACGCUGGCGUGCCUGCGGUGCAGGCACCCUGGUUUAUCAGUCACACUGCGGUGAUGCUAUCGCAGGCACGCCAGCGCCCACA
This 87-nucleotide unclassified non-coding RNA is filed under the name Pseudomonas fluorescens. Lineage: Bacteria; Pseudomonadati; Pseudomonadota; Gammaproteobacteria; Pseudomonadales; Pseudomonadaceae. The record is from RNAcentral.